GAAGGCCCGAGUGUUAUCCGGAUUUAUUGGGGCGUAAAGAGUACGUAGGAGGCUUGGUGCGUCUCAUGUUAAAUAUCACUGCCUAACGGGUGAUGCCGCAUGGGAUACGGCCAGGCUAGAGGAUGCGAGAGGUCUGUGGAACGCACGGUGUAGGGGUGAUAUCCGUUGAUAUCGUGCGGAACACCAAAGGCGAAGGCAGCAGACUGGCGUAUUCCUGACUCUGAGGUACGAAAGCGUGGGUAGCGAACGGGAUUAGAUACCCCGGUAGUCCACGCCGUAAACUAUGUUCGCUAGCUGUUUCGAGUAUCGACCCUCGGAGUGGCGCAGCUAACGCGUUAAGCGAACCGCCUGGGAAGUACGGCCGCAAGGCUG
This 372-nucleotide ribosomal RNA is filed under the name uncultured organism. Its description in RNAcentral is "partial 16S ribosomal RNA". It matches the Rfam family "Bacterial small subunit ribosomal RNA", at positions 528 to 896 of the family's 1533-position model. The record is from RNAcentral.